RNAcentral lists this ribosomal RNA (255 nucleotides) under uncultured bacterium. RNAcentral describes it as "partial 16S ribosomal RNA". It matches the Rfam family "Bacterial small subunit ribosomal RNA", at positions 524 to 777 of the family's 1533-position model. The record is from RNAcentral.
UACGAAGGGGGGCUAGCGUUGCUCGGAAUCACUGGGCGUAAAGGGUGUGUAGGCGGGUCUUUAAGUCAGGGGUGAAAUCCUGGAGCUCAACUCCAGAACUGCCUUUGAUACUGAGGAUCUUGAGUUCGGGAGAGGUGAGUGGAACUGCGAGUGUAGAGGUGAAAUUCGUAGAUAUUCGCAAGAACACCAGUGGCGAAGGCGGCUCACUGGCCCGAUACUGACGCUGAGGCACGAAAGCGUGGGGAGCAAACAAGG